AUUCAGUGUAAAAGAAAGCGCAGCUGUAUGUUGAUCGUCCGUCUUAUUUAAAACUUUUCUAUGUGAGUAUUAUUAUUAUUAGAUUAUAAAACAUGAAUAUAGUUAUUAUUUUUACUUUUUAUUUUACAAAAAUUAAAUAAGACGGACGAUUAAAGUUGUGCACGAAAAUUUAUGGGUGCGCUUAUU
Non-coding RNA from Oryza barthii, 186 nucleotides. Lineage: Eukaryota; Viridiplantae; Streptophyta; Magnoliopsida; Poales; Poaceae. The record is from Rfam.